RNAcentral lists this ribosomal RNA (211 nucleotides) under uncultured bacterium. RNAcentral's name for it is "partial 16S ribosomal RNA". It matches the Rfam family "Bacterial small subunit ribosomal RNA", at positions 1289 to 1500 of the family's 1533-position model. The record is from RNAcentral.
CAGUUCGGAUUGUAGGCUGAAACUCGCCUACAUGAAGCUGGAGUUACUAGUAAUCGCAGAUCAGAAUGCUGCGGUGAAUGCGUUCCCGGGUCUUGUACACACCGCCCGUCACACCACGGAAGUUGGGGGCGCCCGAAGCCACUUAGCUAACCUUUGGAAGCGAGUGUCGAAGGUGAAAUCAAUAACUGGGGUGAAGUCGUAACAAGGUACC